UACGAAGGGGGCUAGCGUUGCUCGGAAUGACUGGGCGUAAAGGGCGCGUAGGCGGCUGUGACAGUCAGAUGUGAAAUUCCUGGGCUCAACCUGGGGGCUGCAUUUGAUACGUGAUGGCUGGAGUGGGGAAGAGGGUCGUGGAAUUCCCAGUGUAGAGGUGAAAUUCGUAGAUAUUGGGAAGAACACCGGUGGCGAAGGCGGCGACCUGGUCCUUGACUGA
RNAcentral lists this ribosomal RNA (220 nucleotides) under uncultured bacterium. RNAcentral's name for it is "partial 16S ribosomal RNA". It matches the Rfam family "Bacterial small subunit ribosomal RNA", at positions 524 to 743 of the family's 1533-position model. The record is from RNAcentral.